Molecule: non-coding RNA, 74 nt
Organism: Podarcis lilfordi (Lilford's wall lizard)
Lineage: Eukaryota; Metazoa; Chordata; Lepidosauria; Squamata; Lacertidae
Source: the annotation of a GenBank genome assembly
GCAGGUAUAGCUCAGUCAAUAAAGCAUGAGACUCUUAAUCUCAGGGUCGUGGUUUAAAAACCCCAUGUUUGGCA